AUAACAAGCUGAUCUUUCCCAAGAGCUCACAUCGACCGGAAGGUCUGACACCUCGACGCCAGCUGUUCACCACCUGAGACUGUAAUAUGCUCCAAAACAUUUGGAUGUUCGCACAUUAAAGUAAUAGAUGAGCUGGGUUCACUAUGUAUAUUG
Molecule: non-coding RNA, 153 nt
Filed under: Daucus carota subsp. sativus
Lineage: Eukaryota; Viridiplantae; Streptophyta; Magnoliopsida; Apiales; Apiaceae
Source: Rfam by way of RNAcentral